AGGGGGAUAGCGUAGUGGUAGAAGCGCUUAGAAGGCCCUGCUUUAUCGGUAAGGUCGUGGGUUCGAAUCCCGCUCCCCCCC
RNAcentral lists this transfer RNA (81 nucleotides) under Ophiocordyceps sinensis. It matches the Rfam family "tRNA". Rfam says of the family: Transfer RNA (tRNA) molecules are approximately 80 nucleotides in length. Their secondary structure includes four short double-helical elements and three loops (D, anti-codon, and T loops). Further hydrogen bonds mediate the characteristic L-shaped molecular structure. tRNAs have two regions of fundamental functional importance: the anti-codon, which is responsible for specific mRNA codon recognition, and the 3' end, to which the tRNAs corresponding amino acid is attached (by aminoacyl-tRNA synthetases). tRNAs cope with the degeneracy of the genetic code in two manners: having more than one tRNA (with a specific anti-codon) for a particular amino acid; and 'wobble' base-pairing, i.e. permitting non-standard base-pairing at the 3rd anti-codon position. RNAcentral also lists the same sequence under 1 other name. The record is from Rfam by way of RNAcentral. Lineage: Eukaryota; Fungi; Ascomycota; Sordariomycetes; Hypocreales; Ophiocordycipitaceae.